This 128-nucleotide small nucleolar RNA is filed under the name Trichophyton rubrum BMU01672. RNAcentral's name for it is "CD-box snoRNA". The record is from RNAcentral. Lineage: Eukaryota; Fungi; Ascomycota; Eurotiomycetes; Onygenales; Arthrodermataceae.
ACGCGAGGGAAGUAGACUCUAGAUGGUAGGUGGAGGAAUGUAGACUGAUGCUGGCUGAUGACUGAUGACUGAUGGCUGAUGGCUGAUGGCUGAUGGCUGAUGGCUGAUGGCUGAUGUUCUGGUGGUUG